Tuber brumale (winter truffle) is the source of this 74-nucleotide non-coding RNA. The record is from the annotation of a GenBank genome assembly. Lineage: Eukaryota; Fungi; Ascomycota; Pezizomycetes; Pezizales; Tuberaceae.
GGUUUCGUAGUGUAGUUGGUUAUCACAUCAAUCUACCACAAUGGUGGUCCCCACUUCGAGCCCGGGUGAAAUUA